UACGGGGGGGGCAAGCGUUGUUCGGAAUUACUGGGCGUAAAGGGCUCGUAGGCGGCCAACUAAGUCCGACGUGAAAUCCCCAGGCUCAACCUGGGAACUGCGUCGGAUACUGGAUGGCUUGAAUCCGGGAGAGGGAUGUGGAAUUCCAGGUGUAGCGGUGAAAUGCGUAGAUAUCUGGAGGAACACCGGUGGCGAAGGCGGCAUCCUGGACCGGUAUUGACGCUGAGGCGCGAAAGCUAGGGGAGCAAACGGG
RNAcentral lists this ribosomal RNA (253 nucleotides) under uncultured bacterium. RNAcentral describes it as "partial 16S ribosomal RNA". It matches the Rfam family "Bacterial small subunit ribosomal RNA", at positions 524 to 776 of the family's 1533-position model. The record is from RNAcentral.